CCACCUUCCGUUUGGCAGUCGGACCUUUCACCUUGGCUUGGAGGGAGCACGGAUGGGAGCACAUGCUACAAACAUUUGGCCGGAACCCUCCACUUCCUGUUUGGCAGUCGGCCCUUCCACCUCCAACUGACUGGACUGGACCAGAGAAAACCGACAACAACUGGACCACGCGGGACAUGCAUCUGCUGGUGGAGAAGGGCGUUUCUCAACAUCGCACUCAACUGCGUCAGAACUGUGACUGUCUGCAGAUCAG
This is a long non-coding RNA of Seriola dumerili (greater amberjack), 253 nucleotides long. RefSeq lists it as uncharacterized. The record is from RefSeq and is a predicted model, not a curated record. Lineage: Eukaryota; Metazoa; Chordata; Actinopteri; Carangiformes; Carangidae. The transcript is spliced from 3 exons.